RNAcentral lists this ribosomal RNA (254 nucleotides) under uncultured bacterium. Its description in RNAcentral is "partial 16S ribosomal RNA". It matches the Rfam family "Bacterial small subunit ribosomal RNA", at positions 524 to 776 of the family's 1533-position model. The record is from RNAcentral.
UACGGGGGGAGCAAGCGUUGUUCGGAUUUACUGGGCGUAAAGGGCGCGUAGGCGGUCAGCACAAGUCAGUUGUGAAAUCUCCGGGCUUAACUCGGAAAGGUCAACUGAUACUGUGCGACUAGAGUGCAGAAGGGGCAACUGGAAUUCUCGGUGUAGCGGUGAAAUGCGUAGAUAUCGUGAGGAAGACCAGUGGCGAAGGCGGAUCUCUGGACAGUUCCUGACGCUGAGGCGCGAAGGCCAGGGGAGCAAACGGG